Molecule: ribosomal RNA, 1371 nt
Filed under: uncultured bacterium
Lineage: Bacteria
Description: bacterial SSU rRNA
Rfam family: Bacterial small subunit ribosomal RNA
Source: RNAcentral
GAUGAACGCUGGCGGCGUGCCUAAUACAUGCAAGUCGAGCGAACGGACGAGAAGCUUGCUUUUCUGAUGUUAGCGGCGGACGGGUGAGUAACACGUGGAUAACCUACCUAUAAGACUGGGAUAACUUCGGGAAACCGGAGCUAAUACCGGAUAAUAUUUUGAACCGCAUGGUUCAAAAGUGAAAGACGGUCUUGCUGUCACUUAUAGAUGGAUCCGCGCUGCAUUAGCCAGUUGGUAAGGUAACGGCUUACCAAGGCAACGAUGCAUAGCCGACCUGAGAGGGUGAUCGGCCACACUGGAACUGAGACACGGUCCAGACUCCUACGGGAGGCAGCAGUAGGGAAUCUUCCGCAAUGGGCGAAAGCCUGACGGAGCAACGCCGCGUGAGUGAUGAAGGUCUUCGGAUCGUAAAACUCUGUUAUUAGGGAAGAACAUAUGUGUAAGUAACUGUGCACAUCUUGACGGUACCUAAUCAGAAAGCCACGGCUAACUACGUGCCAGCAGCCGCGGUAAUACGUAGGUGGCAAGCGUUAUCCGGAAUUAUUGGGCGUAAAGCGCGCGUAGGCGGUUUUUUAGUCUGAUGUGAAAGCCCACGGCUCAACCGUGGAGGGUCAUUGGAAACUGGAAAACUUGAGUGCAGAAGAGGAAAGUGGAAUUCCAUGUGUAGCGGUGAAAUGCGCAGAGAUAUGGAGGAACACCAGUGGCGAAGGCGACUUUCUGGUCUGUAACUGACGCUGAUGUGCGAAAGCGUGGGGAUCAAACAGGAUUAGAUACCCUGGUAGUCCACGCCGUAAACGAUGAGUGCUAAGUGUUAGGGGGUUUCCGCCCCUUAGUGCUGCAGCUAACGCAUUAAGCACUCCGCCUGGGGAGUACGACCGCAAGGUUGAAACUCAAAGGAAUUGACGGGGACCCGCACAAGCGGUGGAGCAUGUGGUUUAAUUCGAAGCAACGCGAAGAACCUUACCAAAUCUUGACAUCCUUUGACAACUCUAGAGAUAGAGCCUUCCCCUUCGGGGGACAAAGUGACAGGUGGUGCAUGGUUGUCGUCAGCUCGUGUCGUGAGAUGUUGGGUUAAGUCCCGCAACGAGCGCAACCCUUAAGCUUAGUUGCCAUCAUUAAGUUGGGCACUCUAAGUUGACUGCCGGUGACAAACCGGAGGAAGGUGGGGAUGACGUCAAAUCAUCAUGCCCCUUAUGAUUUGGGCUACACACGUGCUACAAUGGACAAUACAAAGGGCAGCGAAACCGCGAGGUCAAGCAAAUCCCAUAAAGUUGUUCUCAGUUCGGAUUGUAGUCUGCAACUCGACUACAUGAAGCUGGAAUCGCUAGUAAUCGUAGAUCAGCAUGCUACGGUGAAUACGUUCCCGGGUCU